Thalassophryne amazonica is the source of this 101-nucleotide long non-coding RNA. RefSeq lists it as uncharacterized. Lineage: Eukaryota; Metazoa; Chordata; Actinopteri; Batrachoidiformes; Batrachoididae. The record is from RefSeq and is a predicted model, not a curated record. The transcript is spliced from 3 exons.
AUUGUUUUAUUUAUCCAUUAUUUAUACAGAUAGUCUCAUUGAGACACGAAGUCUCAUUCUCAAGAGAGACCUGUUUCAGUCAUAAAUCCAAUGACAACCAC